RNAcentral lists this ribosomal RNA (208 nucleotides) under uncultured Smithella sp. RNAcentral's name for it is "partial 16S ribosomal RNA". It matches the Rfam family "Bacterial small subunit ribosomal RNA", at positions 568 to 775 of the family's 1533-position model. The record is from RNAcentral. Lineage: Bacteria; Pseudomonadati; Thermodesulfobacteriota; Syntrophia; Syntrophales; Smithellaceae.
CGUGUAGGCGGCUGGAUAAGUCAGAUGUGAAAGCCCUGGGCUUAACCCAGGAAGUGCAUUUGAAACUGUUCAGCUUGAGUAAGGGAGAGGAAAGUGGAAUUCCUGGUGUAGAGGUGAAAUUCGUAGAUAUCAGGAGGAACACCGGUGGCGAAGGCGACUUUCUGGCCCUAUACUGACGCUGAGACGCGAGAGCGUGGGUAGCAAACAG